RNAcentral lists this long non-coding RNA (806 nucleotides) under Homo sapiens (human). RNAcentral's name for it is "non-protein coding lnc-PPP4R1-2:4". The record is from RNAcentral. Lineage: Eukaryota; Metazoa; Chordata; Mammalia; Primates; Hominidae.
GCCACUACGCUGAGGAUAUGCCGUGUACUAAAAUUCCUCAGGACUCCUCACAGCUGCCCUGUAAGGAAGCGGCCAUGGCCGGGUUCUAGCGAUGCGAGGCCGAGGCUCGGGGCGCUGAGUAGCCUAGCGCGUCGCCGAGGAGAGCUGGCACGUGAACCCCUUGUCGUUUGCCGUCAGAGGUGUUAUGUGGUGGCCCUCAUUCUCCAUGCAUGGAGCAGACUCUAGGAUCUGCAGUUACUGUAUGAUGAGCCCUUCUGAGUAUUUUGCUUGGGUGGACAGUUUAUGUGUCAGGUAUGUGUAUUUAUAAUUAAAAUCAAAUAUUAUUACAUAGGCUUUGCACCUGGCGAGGUAACAUUGAGAGUAGUUAAUCUCUAGACUGGAAUCCAUCUGGAAGACCACUCAAUAACUUGUGAUUAGCUGGACCUGGUGAUGCAAGCCUGGAGUCCCAGUUACCCGGAGGCUGAGGUGGGAAUAUCGCUUGAGACCAGGAGUUUGAGGCUACAGUGAGCUGUGAUUGUACCACUGCACUCCAGCCUGGGUGACAGUGCAAGACCUCAUCUCUUAAAAAAAACAAACAACUCAAAAAACCUCAUCAUUGAGCACCUAUGAUGUGCCAGCAACUGUACUCAGUGGUGGGGACUUGACGACAAACAAACCAGGGAUGGGAUCCUUGAGCAGUCACCAUCUGACAAGUGACUGGGAAAGAUGAAUAAUGCCCUUCACCAAGAUUCUUCUCUGAUCCACAAAUUCAAUUACCAAUUUAUUUGUUCACUGCUCUUAAACUUAAAUAUUUUUUAGUAGGUAAU